GAUCCAGUAUGGUGUAGUGUUUUCGUGCUGGACUAAGAUGCCAAGAACCCAGGGUUCAAAUCCCUGCUGGCCCA
Non-coding RNA from Phrynosoma platyrhinos (Desert horned lizard), 74 nucleotides. The record is from the annotation of a GenBank genome assembly. Lineage: Eukaryota; Metazoa; Chordata; Lepidosauria; Squamata; Phrynosomatidae.